This is a non-coding RNA of Equus caballus (horse), 3199 nucleotides long. The record is from RefSeq and is a predicted model, not a curated record. NCBI's taxonomy places the organism in Eukaryota, Metazoa, Chordata, Mammalia, Perissodactyla, Equidae.
CACUCAGCACAAGUGCUUCACACCAUCCACGGGCCUGGCUCCUCUUCUCGGGCCUAAGUGGGAAAAACAGAACACGGGCUGGGGGCAGAGCUUGCCCCAGGGCUACCCCCACAAUUCCUGUCACAGUAGUGGUGGCACCACUGUGAGCUCAUUUCUUCCUCACAGUACCACCUGGGGGGGUGGGAACCAUAGCUGUCUCCAUUUUCCUGAAGAGUAGAUUGAGAUGUGAGCAUGAUGGGACAGAGAAAAGGGGCCAGGACCAGAAGAUCUGUGGGGUGGGUGAGGGAUAUGCUGCCAAGAAUCAGGCGCAUUCACUCAGUGGAACCCAGAAGCCAGAAAGUUGGCAGCAUGACCUACGUGCCCCAGGCCGGCGCAUGUCCCUAGAGAAGAGACGUAAAAAUUCUUCCAUGUGAGGGCUGCCAACAAAGAAGUCUGCUUCACCCACCAGUCUAAAGCUCCCUCCAGCCAACAAAUCUCCAAAGAGCUCUUUAGUGCUGUACUCUCAGCAAUGAACAGAUUGUCAAGGAUCCCUGAACAUGGGAGUGAAGCUGCCAGCAUGGAGCCCAACAAAUAAACAGAAAAAAGGCACUCAGAGGAAUUGGAGGGAAGGGAGCAGGAAACAAGCUCAAAAUGAAACUCUUAUCGUUGAUACUCUCAGGGGAUGAGAGAGGAUGUUGCAUCCAAGAAACGAGGUCAGCAUUCUCUAAGGAAGGGGUCAUCAAAGCACAAGAAAGAGGGUUUCUAAUAGAUGGGACAGAAGGCAGAGCUGAGGAAAUGUCUAGGAAAAAAGACAAAGAGCUUGACAAUAAAAAAGAAAAGACAACCAGAAGGUUGGUCCAGAUGAUUCAUUGUCCUACUAUUUGGAGUUAGAACAGAGAAAACAGAGAAGGCAUUUCCAAAGAAAUAAUACAAGAAAAUUGCCAGCUGAAGGGAGGGAGCCUUCAAAAGGAGAGAGCUCAUCAAGCAAAAGCACAAUGAGCUUUUAAAAUUCCAAACCAAGGUAUAUCAUCAUGAAAUCUGAACGCAUCAGGGACAAAGAGAAAAUCCUACAAACUGGUGGAUCGUGGAGGGUGGUACAACACGUACAUAGGUUUAAGGAUUAGAAUGACGUUAGACUUCACAACAGCAGCACUGGAAGAUGGGAGACAAUGGACUAAUGCCUUUGAAAUUUUGAUGAAAAAGUUUUCUCAACCUAGAUUUCUACAUCUUGCCAAAUUAUUUUUCUAAGUAUGAAGUGGUAUAAAAGAAUUGCUAGGCGUGCAACAUCUUUAAAAUUUUUACCUUCUGUAUAUCCCUUCUCAGAAAGAUGCUGGAGGAUGUGCUCCAGCAAAACAAGCAGGUAAACCAAGAAAGAGGAGGACCUGGGGUGCAGGAAGCAGGGGACCUAGCCCUACAGAGAGGCCAAGAGAAGCUCCAAGGUAACACUUUGUACCACAGAGCAGAGAACAACUGUUCAGAUCUGAGCAGGAAGUCAAAGGACCUGGGAGGGAGGCCUCCAGGGGAGAAGGAACUGCUAGAUUAUCACAUAUGUUAGGGCACUUGAAACAACUGUUGAUAGGUGCUUGACAGAAAUAUGGAAGCAUUUGGGGAAAAGUUAGCCAUCAGGAUAUUGAAAAUGAUAAAAGGAGGUAUUUACCUCUGGUGUGGAGGGGAGGAUUAUGAGGCAGAAACAUAUUCAUCAUACACUGUUUGGCUCUGCAAUGAGCAACAGUCCUGGUAAUAUAAAUGCUGACUAUCAAUGCCAAAAAUUAUGAUCUAAGAUACAUUAGGAUGAUGGAUGAGGGAGGAAAGUGGGAGCACAGUGGACAAUGAGAGUCAAAUUCUCCAUGAUUAUGAUAGAAAGUUAACAAAUUAUGUCAAGAUAUAAUAAAUAAAAAAGUCACAUACCCUUAUUUUUUCAGAAGCAAAUUUAAAAAGUGGAAAGCAGUGGUCCCUGGGGAGUGGGACCAUGGGAUGGGAGAGACAGGAGGGGAUGGCUGCACUUUUGCUGUGAGGCUAAGCUACGUGGAUUGUGUACUUCCUGCAGGGAUUGCUUUUCCAAAAAUAAACACUUAAUUGCAGAAGGAAGAGGGAGCUCCUGCCACUCGCCUGCCAUUGUGGUGCAGAACGGGGCACAGGCAGAGGCCAGCGGCAGGAAGACUCAGAAGACUGGGCAAUGUGGGUAUUUAACAAAUGGAAGAAGUCCCUGUAUGGUAGGUGCCCUGGAGGCAGAAAUCCUGGGCCUGAGGAGCCAGUGGGAGCCCGUCUCUCUUCUGCGGUCACUCUUGUCAAAUUAUGUCAGCUGGAUUUGUUCAUAGAAUAUGGCUUCCAAAAGAAUAGCAGCCACAGGUGCUGGGCUGGAGGGAAGAGAUCAUGACCCGACUAAGUGGCGGUCCUCAGGCAGUUUGGAGAAGGGAAAGAUCUUUCAAGAAUGAAAGUGAAAUAAAGCCUGAGGGAGUUCAAUGCCAUCGAAUUGAAAGGAAUUCCGCAAAAUGUAUCUCAGGGAGAAGGAAAGUGAUCUCAGCUGAAGGCUUGAGGUGGAAGAAGGAAUGAAGGAGACAGAGAGCACUUGUGAGGGUAAAUGAAAGGAACCUUCGAUUGUAUACAGCAGUAUCAGUUGUGUCUUGUGGGGUUAAGAAAAGCAAAGCAGAAUUAAAGCUCUAGAGGGAAGCACCUGUGUCAGGGGGGCCACAUGGAGUUCACGCGUUCAGGGGCCUUGUUCUGUUUGGCUGGAAGGUAAAGCAUUGAAUUCAGAUUUUUAUAUAUUGAGUUCAUGGGUGAGAGGUGAAAUGGUGGGUGAAAUGGUGGGUGAAAUGGGUGAAGAAGGUUAAAAGGUACGAAAUUCCACUUAUAAAAUUAAUAAGUCCUGAGGAUGUAAUGUACAGCAUGUGACUACAGCUAAUAAUACUGUACAGUGCAUUUGAAAAUUGCUGAGAGAGUAGAUCUUAAAAGUUCUCAUCACAAGGAAAAAAAUUAGUAACUGCAUGGUGAUGGAUGUUAACCAGACUUACUGUGGUGAUCAUUUCACAAUAUAUACAAAUAUGAAAUCAUUAUGUUGUACACCAAAACUAAUAUAAUGUUAUACGUCAGUUAUAUCUCAGUUUAAAAAAGGGAAUUCAUGGUAUAAUUUCCAGGGUAUUCACUAAAAGAUUAGAGCAAAGGUAUGGAGGGGAAAAAAGCAAUCUUAGAGAAGGGAGAAAAGAUGGGGAGACAAAGAAAC